Long non-coding RNA from Xenopus laevis (African clawed frog), 3299 nucleotides. RefSeq lists it as uncharacterized. The transcript has 3 exons. NCBI's taxonomy places the organism in Eukaryota, Metazoa, Chordata, Amphibia, Anura, Pipidae. The record is from RefSeq and is a predicted model, not a curated record.
AACCAAAACUUGCCUCCAAGCCUGAAAUUCAAAAAUAAGCUCCUGCUUUGAGGCCACUGGGAGCAACAUCCAAGGGGUUGGAGAGCAACAUGUUGCUCACGAGCUACUGGUUGGGGAUCACUGCGCUAAUGGCUUUGCUUUGCCAGUGCUGUAGACUAUUCAGUUAAUUUUAAUUUCUUAAAAGGGUUAUAAGAAGUGUUAGACAACAGCAGCUUAAGGUGGCCAUAGACGUAACAAUUAUGAUCUUUCUUGGAAAAGAUAUUUCCAAGAAAGAUCACUUGUUUCAAUACACACUUGUAGAGCUGAAUUGUCAGAUAUACAGACUGAAACAAUAGAAUUCUACCUGUACCUGACGAUUCAGCAUUAACAAUGGCCGAUCAAAAUUUUCCGUCCAGCCCGAUUGACGAGCCGACCGAUAUUCAAGUCUUCUGCCGAUAUCGGUCGUCUCUUUUCCCACCAUCCACGCGCCGAAUAUCGUACAAAAAUUUGUUUCGUACGAUAUUUAUCUGUGAGUCUAUGGCCACCUUUUGGCUUGUUAAAAUUACCAGCUGUAAAGGGAACACCGUCAUAGGGCCUAGGGUAAAAAAAGCAUAAUGUAGCUCUAAAUGUCCUGUAUACUGUCCAUACCAUUCUAGCUGUACUGCAGGGAGAUGCAUGGGGAUUGGCUUGAGACGCUUGCAAUAGGGAUUUCUCAAGCAACACUAGUUGAGUAAGAAACCCAUAGAGGGUUACAUAAUAAAUGGCAUUGCAUUUGCCCAGGAGCAGUAACUCAUAGCAAUUAGAAUUUACCAGUCACACAAACCUCUUAUUGUUGCUAUGGGUUGCUGCUACUGGGCAAACUUUGUGUCUUUUAUUACACAUGAGGUAAUAGUCUGAGUCUGGUCCUGGACUAUGACGUUGGUUAGAUUUAGGGCAGAGAUACACGUGGAGAUUCGGGAGAUUGUCUUUCGGCAACAAAUCGCCUCUUCUUCGGGCGACUAAUCUCCCUGAACUGCCUUCCCGUAGGCAAGAAUCUAAAUCGCCAGUCGUUUUCCGAAGAUGCCUGAAGUUUUCUUGUGAGGCAACUUUGGGCGAAUUCGGAAAAUGAAGGGAUCCGAGUGCUAUCAAGCCAGCAAUUUAGAUUGUAGCCAGCGGGAAGACAGUUCGGGGAGAUAAUUCGCCCGAGGAAGAGUCGAUCUGUCGCCAAGACGACUAAAUCUCCCCAAAUCUCCACGUGUGUGUCUGCCCUUAGGUAACUGCCAUGAAUCUUUCCCUAAAAUCGUCAACUUGCUGCUUGCUUUUUCUCCUCCUCCUAAAUCGCUUAUAUCUAACCAGAGAUGGAUAGUCGUGCUGGGGUGACUUUAAAAUGCCAUUGAAGCAGAUGAGUAAAAGGGGGAAAAUAAACAAAUGAAGACUUGGAAUGUUAAGGUGUGACGACACACACUGGCAGCAGUUGCUCAAAAUGUACUGGCUACUUAUGUGUCGUAAGUAAAAUGACUCCGGUGAUCUUAAAUAGCGACUAAAUACAGUUCCUGACAUUUACUCCAUUUCUAUAUUCUGAGGGAACAAAAAUAAGUUUGUCAAACUCUGUUGUCCCUAAAAAUGACUGAGCGGUAAAUCUGAUUUAUCAGAUCUUAGGGGGAAAGUCUGACAUCUUUUUGUUGCUCCCUGCAAAUUUUUUCUUUUUCGUGUGCCAGUCCUUUCUGAAAAAAAUGCGACUUUAAUUAUAAAUUGUUAUAUAUUGUCUUUUGUAGUACUACUGAGCUAGAAAUCCAAACUUUACUGAGCAUCCAAAAUGAUCUUUUCACAUGCUUUAUGAACCUAGUCUCCUGCAGGGAACUGUAAUGAAGGGUCACAAGAUCCUUUUGUGUUGCUUUCUCUGUCUUCCUUUUACCAGAAUUUUCAUUUGUUUGCACAUUCCUUAUAUGAUAUGUAUUGUUAUGAAGCUUUCUGGGGCUUGUUUCUGAAACUUGAAGGAUUUUUUUUAGGCUUUUCCUUACCAUAAAUGUUAUUUUCAGGAUAAUAUCUCCUCGUAGAAGUGCCUGUGUUUUAUUUAUUGAGAUUUAAAACCAAAAUUUCCCCUUUCUCCCCUGACUUUAAGUAAAUGUAAGUUUGUACACACCAUUUUAAGUUAAGCAUGAGAGUUACAAUUGAAGGUAAUUUUAAGUUGAAUAUAAAUAAAGCUGUUAUUUUUUAAACAGACUGAUGCCCCAUCAUUUAUUUUUAGUAAUAGGUAAAACAAUAAACAUCCAUGUCUGACAUAGGUGUUUGGAAAACUUCAGAUUAUAAAAAAAAACGAUUAUUUAUUCUGCUUAAAGGGGUGGUUCACCUUUGAAUUAACUUUUAUAAUGAUGUAAAGGGUGAUAUUCUGAGACAAUCUGUAAAUGGUUUUCAUAUUUUAUUAUUUGUGGUUUUUGAGUUAUUUAGCUUUUUAUUCAGCAGCUCUCCAGUCUGCAAUUUCUGCAAUCUGGUUGGUAGGGUCCAAAUUACCCUAGCAACCAUGUUUUGAUUAUAUGUAAAUAUAAAUAGGAAUUGUCCUGAUCAGAAAGAGAAAUAAUAAAAAGAAGCAAUAUUAAUAAAUAAUUAGCUUUACAGAGCAGUUGUCAAUUAGAUGGGACCAGCAUUUGAGAACUGGGAAAAAUCAAUCAAAGAAGGAUUCUGUAAUAAAAAAUGACACUUUCAUAUCAGUAUUAAAGAGACCGUAAACACACCUUUUCAACAUAAAUGGAAAGGUGGGGAUACUCUGAGAACAUUUGCAAUUGGUUUUCAUUGCUUAUAUGAAAUAACAAUGUAAAAUGAGGGAAAACUUAAAAUCAGAGGAUGUAAAAAUCGAGGUUCUACUGUAAUUAUCUAUUCUAUAACAUACUAAAAUUUAGCUUAAAGCUGAACCACCCCUUUACUGAAUGUGCUGGACUUUUUAUCUAUUUUAAUUAAAAAGUACCUUAAUGGAAUGGAAUGAUAACCGAGGUCCUGUUUGUUGUUUCAUUUAUAGUUGGCAGAAGUUGUUAUAGGUGUAAACUUCCCCUGUAAGAAAUACAAAAGGGUUCCAACCUCUGAAUCCAAAACAUGGCUCUGUGCUUUGCUUGUGAUCUAAGCAGGUUCAUUGCGGAGGAAAAGCGAGAGCCGUGAUUCGUUCAUGCAGGUGGCGUCCGUUGCCAAAACAAAUUUCCUUGUUGACUGUAAACUGGCAACUGCGUGACCUCCCAACCACUUUGCACAAGACAGUCCUGAUUUUUGCCUUCUGCCCCAGAUUGCUCCUUAAACAGAAUCCCUGAAUUUCGUUAAAAGCAGCUGUUAGAAUUGAUACAAUAGUUACUAAU